Molecule: long non-coding RNA, 1076 nt
Filed under: Gallus gallus (chicken)
Lineage: Eukaryota; Metazoa; Chordata; Aves; Galliformes; Phasianidae
Description: lncRNA (ENSGALG00010027544.1)
Source: RNAcentral
UUUUUUUUUUUUUUUUUUUUUUUUUUUUUGGAUCAUUUUGUGCUUUAUGGGCUUCACAGUGAAGGUUGGUUUCAAAGAGAGAGGUGUGGGAGUCACUGUCCUUAGUGAGGUUCAAAAGCUGUGUGGGCAUGGUGCUGGGCAGAGGUGGGAGUUGAACCAGAUGACCUCAAGACUUGCUAUCCAACCUCAGUCAUUCAAUGGUUCUAUGGAGAGGCAAAUGAAGAACAGCAAAAAUGUCUGAAAGGAGUCAGAUGAGGAAUGUGGGGAGAAAGAUGACUUCCAGUAGUCCUCAGUUAAAGAAAGUUGAAGAAAAAUUCAGGUGUGCGCCAGCAAGGUAAGGUUGCAUGGGUCAAGACUGAAAGGAGAAGAUACAAGAUGAUGAAAGCCCAAAUGAGACCUUCCCUUUUGUGGUUGGACAGAAGUCAUCAUUUCCACUAAUAUAUUUACUGAGGUAAGGCUAAAUGGCUAAUGAGAUGGAAAUUUAUGCACUCCCUAUGAAAAUUUGCAGCUUAUCUUUAGCUCCUCAAAGGGAUGUGAAGAGAGGAAGCCAAACUGAGCAGGCUGAGAUUUCAGUGGACAGCUCUGUAUGCCACCUGCACAGAAGUGGCAGCUGGAAAAUGAGAAUAUCCAGAGUUGUAGAAAGGGAGACAUUAGAUUUUAUGACACUGCGAGCAUCUAUUUUGGAAAAGUCAAUGCAAAUGAAUCUUCAGAGAAUCUGAAAGGAGUGCUAAACUGGUUGGCAUAUACUCAGAAAAUGGAGGACCCUAUAUCAAGAUCAUACAGCCAGCGGAAGAGACGAUUUAGAAAGUGAUUUUUCAUCUUAACCAAUGAUGUAGCAUCAUCAAUUUUCCCAGACAGCCUUCAGGUCCCCAGGGCUUCAGGAUGGCACCUAAGAGAUAAUGUGACAUAGGACUUGGUCCAACGCUGUCUAAUUUUUAGGAACAACUCCAUGGGAAUACACUGUCUUUGUGAGAAUGAGGAAAGAAAAGAAAAAUGAAGAGAAAGAGCAGAAACAGGGAAGUUUCAUAGUAAGGAUGCUGACAUGCAGUAAAAAUAUAAAAACAAAACAAAAAAAU